This 565-nucleotide long non-coding RNA is filed under the name Theobroma cacao (cacao). RNAcentral describes it as "long non-coding RNA (TCAC_LNC000051)". Lineage: Eukaryota; Viridiplantae; Streptophyta; Magnoliopsida; Malvales; Malvaceae. The record is from RNAcentral.
AAAAAAAAAACUUGGAGGAGAAUCCCCCAUGAUUGGUGGAUCCAAUUCACUUAUGUAGGUCCAAAAGCUUGAUACGAAAAGAUUAAGAUCAAUCUGGGUCCCAUUUUCACAAUCUCCCCAAAAGAUUAACUCCAUCUAGCAAAAAAAUAAAAUUAAAAUGAAAAACCCAUUAAUUAUUAUGCAGCCGAAUGCAAACAAAAUUUGGCGAUUGCAGUGGCGCAAAAACAAUCGGAGGCGGAUCCCGAUCGAAAGGGUCAAAAUCAAACAAGGGCUGCUUGGCUGUGGCUGCCCCCCUGGUCCCGGGUUAGAGUGGCCAAGAUUCCAUGAACCUUUGAGAGUUGCACUAGCAUGAGCUCAGAGGGGUGAGCUAGGGGUCCCCACAGACCGAGGCUGCAUUUUUAACGGAUAUUGACUAGUAGAACCCGCAAAACCGCACUUGGUGCAUUGCAUGGUGCAAUUUGGUAUUUGUUGGUUUGCUGGUCGGCUCGGCUAUCCUCCUCUUUUACGGACCCUCGAGGUUCAUAUUUUGUUUGCCAAAUAAAUUGAUAGCUGAUUAGACGCGGUC